Molecule: non-coding RNA, 219 nt
Filed under: Seonamhaeicola sp.
Lineage: Bacteria; Pseudomonadati; Bacteroidota; Flavobacteriia; Flavobacteriales; Flavobacteriaceae
Also listed under: 1 other name
Source: RNAcentral
AUUUUUGCAGCGAAAUUUGGUUCAGCUUAGUUUUUCUAAGCAGAUUAAAAGGGAAUCUGGUGCAAAUCCAGAACUGUUCCCGCAACUGUAAGUUUGUGCUGAUUUAUUCAGCUCCUUAAUAAAAAAAGGAUGUUAUCAUCUACAAAACCACUGGUUAACACUGGGAAGGUAAGAUAACAUAAAACAAGUCAGGAGACCUGCCAUUUUCAAAACAAUUAA